This 255-nucleotide long non-coding RNA is filed under the name Solanum tuberosum (potato). Its description in RNAcentral is "long non-coding RNA (STUB_LNC004127)". The record is from RNAcentral. Lineage: Eukaryota; Viridiplantae; Streptophyta; Magnoliopsida; Solanales; Solanaceae.
UACCUUUGGCCGGGUAUAAAAUGCUCUGGCAGCGUGAGGUUGAUCGUUGUAUCAUCACUAUAGCUCUUAUGUGAUGGUUGUCGGUUAGAGAAACUCCCACAGCAGUUAUUGUAUUUCUAUAUACAUCAGUUCAUUUGUAUUUCUACAUACAUCUCAGAUUUAUUGUAUCUUUGCAUACACACAAAGUUUAUAGCAUGUUUUAAACAGCUUUUCUUUAUAUUACACUUGCUUUAAAUUGCUUUAUAAUGAAAUGAG